Molecule: ribosomal RNA, 487 nt
Filed under: Salmonella enterica subsp. enterica serovar Enteritidis
Lineage: Bacteria; Pseudomonadati; Pseudomonadota; Gammaproteobacteria; Enterobacterales; Enterobacteriaceae
Description: partial 23S ribosomal RNA
Rfam family: Bacterial large subunit ribosomal RNA
Source: RNAcentral
CUGGCAGUCAGAGGCGAUGAAGGGCGUACUAAUCUGCGAUAAGCGCCGGUAAGGUGAUAUGAACCGUUAUAACCGGCGAUACCCGAAUGGGGAAACCCAGUGUGAUUCGUCACACUAUCAUUAACUGAAUCCAUAGGUUAAUGAGGCGAACCGGGGGAACUGAAACAUCUAAGUACCCCGAGGAAAAGAAAUCAACCGAGAUUCCCCCAGUAGCGGCGAGCGAACGGGGAGGAGCCCAGAGCCUGAAUCAGCAUGUGUGUUAGUGGAAGCGUCUGGAAAGGCGCGCGAUACAGGGUGACAGCCCCGUACACAAAAGCGCAUGUGCUGUGAGCUCGAUGAGUAGGGCGGGACACGUGGUAUCCUGUCUGAAUAUGGGGGGACCAUCCUCCAAGGCUAAAUACUCCUGACUGACCGAUAGUGAACCAGUACCGUGAGGGAAAGGCGAAAAGAACCCCGGCGAGGGGAGUGAAAAAGAACCUGAAACCGU